Molecule: ribosomal RNA, 494 nt
Filed under: uncultured bacterium
Lineage: Bacteria
Description: partial 16S ribosomal RNA
Rfam family: Bacterial small subunit ribosomal RNA
Source: RNAcentral
GACGAACGCUGGCGGCGUGCUUAACACAUGCCAGUCGAACGGUGAAGCGCCUUCCUUUUUGGUGGGUGUGGAUGAGUGGCGAACGGGUGAGUAACACGUUAGUAACCUGCCCCCUUCUUCUGGAUAACCGCAUGAAAGUGUGGCUAAUACGGGGUAUUCUGUGUCUGUCGCAUGAUGGGUCUGGGAAAGAUAUUGUUUCGGUGGGGGAUGGGCUCGCGGCCUAUCAGCUUGUUGGUGGGGUGAUGGCCUACCAAGGCGGUGACGGGUAGCCGGCCUGAGAGGGUGGGCGGUCACACUGGGACUGAGACACGGCCCAGACUCCUACGGGAGGCAGCAGUGGGGAAUAGUGCACAAUGGGCGCAAGCAUGAUGCAGCGACGCCGCGUGAGGGAUGGAGGCCGUCGGGUUGUGAACCUCUUUCGCCAGUGAAGCAGGCCUGCCUCGUUUGUGGGUGGGUUGACGGUAGCUGGAUAAGAAGCGCCGGCUAACUACGUG